This 378-nucleotide ribosomal RNA is filed under the name uncultured eukaryote. RNAcentral's name for it is "partial 18S ribosomal RNA". It matches the Rfam family "Eukaryotic small subunit ribosomal RNA", at positions 592 to 976 of the family's 1831-position model. The record is from RNAcentral.
CAAUAGCGUAUAUUUAAGUUGUUGCAGUUAAAAAGCUCGUAGUUGGAUUUCGGGUGGGACGCAGCGGUCUCGCAUUGCGUUUGUACUGCUGCAGCCCUCCUUUUUGCCGGGGGCGGCCUCUCGGACUUCACUGUCUGGGGGUCAGAAUCGGCGAUGUUACUUUGAGUAAAUUAGAGUGUUCAAAGCAAGCUUACGCUCUGAAUAUAAUAGCAUGGGAUAACACGACAGGACUCUGGCCUAUCGUGUUGGUCUAUAGGACCAGAGUAAUGAUUAAGAGGGACAGUCGGGGGCAUUCGUAUUCCGUUGUCAGAGGUGAAAUUCUUGGAUUUACGGAAGACGAACAUCUGCGAAAGCAUUUGCCAAGGAUGUUUUCAUUGA